Molecule: long non-coding RNA, 310 nt
Organism: Engraulis encrasicolus (European anchovy)
Lineage: Eukaryota; Metazoa; Chordata; Actinopteri; Clupeiformes; Engraulidae
Exons: 4
Source: RefSeq, a predicted model, not a curated record
GUUCCUCGAUGGACGUGAUGACCUGGCACCAAAACCGCUUAAAGUGUAUGGAGCUGUGUCUGCAUCGAGGAAAGAACGCGGCACUGAAAUGACAAGAGGACUACUGCUCUACUGGGUCUGUGACACUACUUAUCCGAGGAGUCCUCAAACAUCAGGAUGUAGGAAGACACAAGUAAAAGGAGAAGAAUGCUGUUCAGCUGGGUCGGCGGCCACACUACUUAUUCAAGAAGCUCUUGGAUAUCAUCGGCAUGUAUGAAGUCCACUGAUGCCAAGCUGCUAAGGACCCCCACCCCCCCGCAGAAGAAGAUCG